Molecule: ribosomal RNA, 760 nt
Filed under: uncultured Clostridia bacterium
Lineage: Bacteria; Bacillati; Bacillota; Clostridia
Description: bacterial SSU rRNA
Rfam family: Bacterial small subunit ribosomal RNA
Source: RNAcentral
UUACUAAUGAGAGUGGCGAACGGGUGAGUAACGCGUGAGCAACCUGCCUAUGACAGUGGGAUAGCCUCGGGAAACCGGGAUUAAUACCGCAUAAAAUCGUAGAAACACAUGUUUCAACGGUCAAAGAUUUAUCGGUCAUAGAUGGGCUCGCGUCUGAUUAGCUAGUUGGUGAGAUAACAGCCCACCAAGGCGACGAUCAGUAGCCGGUCUGAGAGGAUGAACGGCCACAUUGGAACUGAGACACGGUCCAAACUCCUACGGGAGGCAGCAGUGGGGAAUAUUGCACAAUGGGGGAAACCCUGAUGCAGCGACGCCGCGUGAACGAAGAAGGUAUUCGUAUCGUAAAGUUCUGUCCUAUGGGAAGAUAAUGACAGUACCAUAGAAGAAAGCUCCGGCUAAAUACGUGCCAGCAGCCGCGGUAAUACGUAGGGGGCUAGCGUUGUCCGGAAUCACUGGGCGUAAAGGGUUCGCAGGCGGAAAUGCAAGUCAGGUGUAAAAGGCAGUAGCUUAACUACUGUAAGCAUUUGAAACUGCAUAUCUUGAGAAGAGUAGAGGUAAGUGGAAUUUUUAGUGUAGCGGUGAAAUGCGUAGAUAUUAAAAAGAAUACCGGUGGCGAAGGCGACUUACUGGGCUCAUUCUGACGCUGAGGAACGAAAGCGUGGGUAGCAAACAGGAUUAGAUACCCUGGUAGUCCACGCUGUAAACGAUGAGUGCUAGGUAUCGGAAUAUUCGGUCCCAGUUACACAUUAAGCACUCCGCC